CCUGCCCUUCAGACGGGGACAACAGCUCGAAAGGGCUGCUAAUACCGGAUACGACUGCGAUUGCGCUUGCAGUUGCAGUGAAAGUGAAUGCGCUGAAGGAUGGACUCGCGUCCCAUUAGCUAGUUGGUGAGGUAACGGCUCACCAAGGCGACGAUGGGUAGCCGGCCUGAGAGGGUGACCGGCCACACUGGGACUGAGACACGGCCCAGACUCCUACGGGAGGCAGCAGUAGGGAAUUUUGCGCAAUGGGGGCAACCCUGACGCAGCGACGCCGCGUGAGCGAAGAAGGCUUUCGGGUCGUAAAGCUCUUUUGUUUAUGACGAAUGUGCAGACUGUGAAUAAUGGUUUGUAAUGACGGUAGUAAACGAAUAAGCCACGGCUAACUACGUGCCAGCAGCCGCGGUAAUACGUAGGGGGCGAGCGUUGUCCAGAGUUACUGGGCGUAAAGAGCGUGUAGGCGGUUGAAAAAGUCAGGUGUGAAAUUCUUCGGCUCAACCGAGGGACUGCGCUUGAAACUUUUCGACUGGAGUUUGGGAGGGGCAACCGGAAUUCCUGGUGUAACGGUGAAAUGUGUAAAUAUCAGGAGGAACACCCGUGGCGAAGGCGGGUUGCUGGACCAAAACUGACGCUGAAACGCGAAAGCGUGGGUAGCAAACAGGAUUAGAUACCCUGGUAGUCCACGCUGUAAACGAUGAGUGCUA
Molecule: ribosomal RNA, 701 nt
Filed under: uncultured bacterium
Lineage: Bacteria
Description: bacterial SSU rRNA
Rfam family: Bacterial small subunit ribosomal RNA
Source: RNAcentral